Molecule: ribosomal RNA, 185 nt
Filed under: Aloe divaricata
Lineage: Eukaryota; Viridiplantae; Streptophyta; Magnoliopsida; Asparagales; Asphodelaceae
Description: 5.8S ribosomal RNA
Rfam family: 5.8S ribosomal RNA (bases 1-121)
About the family: 5.8S ribosomal RNA (5.8S rRNA) is a component of the large subunit of the eukaryotic ribosome.
Source: RNAcentral
AUGAAGAACGUAGCGAAAUGCGAUACUUGGUGUGAAUUGCAGAAUCCCGCGAACCAUCGAGUUUUUGAACGCAAGUUGCGCCCGAGGCCACCCGGCCGAGGGCACGCCUGCCUGGGCGUCACGCCUCGCGUCGCUCCGCCUACCUCGCCCUGAGCACCCCGUGCUCAUACGGCGGCGGGCGGCGG